This 13170-nucleotide long non-coding RNA is filed under the name Coffea arabica (coffee). Its description in RNAcentral is "long non-coding RNA (CARA_LNC008235)". The record is from RNAcentral. Lineage: Eukaryota; Viridiplantae; Streptophyta; Magnoliopsida; Gentianales; Rubiaceae.
AGAGAGAAAAGUAGAACAAAAAAAUGUGAAAAAAAAGUGAAGGUUGUGUUAGUGUGUAAUAAAAGUCAGCUUGCCGAAUUAUGGAUUUAAUGUUGAGAUUUUGGUUAAUAGUUGGACCAUUUGUUGAUAAAUGUUGUGUGUCAUUCCUUUUUCUUAGAUUAGUUAACCUAAAAUUAGAGAAAUUUGUGGUUUAGAAGCUAACCGGAGUGAUGUUUCUUGGACUUGACCAUUGAUGCUUGAUUAUUAUUUUUCUUGGUAUCUUGGCAAUUUGUUGGAUAGAGCAAUAGCCACUAUCAAAUAUUGGUGUUUGAUCGCUUUUCUCAUGCUUGAGGACAAGCAUGGUUUAGGUGUGGGGGAAUUGAUAGGUUGUAAUUUUAUCAUUUAUUUUAUUAUUAAUUUUCCCUAUUACCUGACCUAAUGUGGAUUAAUUGCUAGAUUCUACUCACUUUUGAUAUUUUGCAUUUAUUUCAGGGAGUAGAACGAAAAUAGGUGCUAAUUUGGCAAGAAAAGAGUUCAGAUGAUAGAGUUUGUCCUAGGGGCAUUUUUGGAACAACAAAACGUGAGCCCUUGUUGGGCAAAUUGGGCCGAAGUCUUCAUUUUUCCGCACAGGAGCCGCCGCAAGGAGCACUACUUUAUAUAGGAAAAUUGCGCAGGAAAAAAGGGGUCUUCUUCUUCCUCUGCGGAAGGAGAGCCGCCGCGCAGAGCUUCUCAAAAGAGGACAUUAGAUAGGAAUAGAGCAAACAAUGGCAGACAACUCUUUAGCUUAGUCUUUUGACUUUUCCUUGUGGGCUCCAAGUAGCUUUUCCUUUUCCUUCUCGUAUGAUUGGACAAGUAGAAACCAUAGAAUCAAUUGCUGUAGCUUUGCUAUCUUUUCAAACAUUGGAACCGAAUUGAAUUUCCCCAAUUUCAAGGGACAAUGGCUGCGGCUCUCUUUACAAUUUCUGGUGGGUUUAGUUCAUCAAUUAUGAACUAAUUUUCCAAUUCUAGUCAAGGAGCAACGAAGGCUCUGGUUCAUCUAAAAAUUGUGAGAUCGUUUUAAUUUAAUCUUUUCCUUUUAUUUAUUGGUAUCCGCACAUUUCUUGAUUGCUAUGCUUAUGGUUAUUUAAUUAAUUGAUUGUCUUGGAUCCAGAUAAUUAGUUGAUUGGGUAAUCUAUUGUCAAUUAGGGCAUUAAAUCCGUAAUUGUUUAAUUGCUCUAAAAUAGUGACAAUUGGCAUGAUUAGGUUUGUGUCAGGGGAAUACGCGGGCUAAUCUAAAAUAACCCUGGUAGUGUGUUAUUUGGUUAGAAUAGGGCUCCUCUAAUACGUAAGGCAAUUGGGGAAUUAAAUUCUAUGGGCGUACCUAGGAUUAUUUCUCAAUUAGAGCAGUGAUUAACGGGCGUACCUUGAUCACCGACACAGUAAGGAGGGGUUGACUGCCAUCGCUUGUUUGGUAGUUAUAACCUAUUUAUUGAUAAAUAAUUGGAAUUGCCUUUGUUUCAAUGAUCAAUUAGGUGAACCAUUGCUGAAGUUAUUUCUUGGCUAGAUCCUUAAUUAUCACUCAUUUGAUUUUAGUAAUUGGUUAUUUAAUUUUUAGUAAUUUCUUAGAUUUUAGUUGAAUUGCUUAAAUUGUCACCCCUGAGAUAAAAACAUCCCCCUUUGUCACUGUGAAUUUAAAAAGAAACAAUUACUCCCAGUCCCUGUGGAUUCGACCCUGCUUACCGCUAUCUACAGAAAUUAACUUUAGUUUGAGCAGGUUUUAUUAUUGCACAGGCUUCGACAUCCUGUCACUUCCAGUUUGAAGUUUUGAACUAUACACGAAUUUCUAUUUUAACCCUUAAACUUUAGUCAGGAUAUUUUAUUCCCUAAAGUAUGAAAUUUUUUUCAAUUUAGUUCUUAAAUUUUAUUUUUAGAAACUUUACCACUAAACUAGAAAUCAUUCCCACUUGAGUCGUUAAACUUUAGGCAUUAAUUGCCUACUAUUAUGUUAAUUUUGACAAUUAUGUGAGAUGAAUUUCAUACUUUAUGGGGUAAAGUGUCUAAAGUUGAAUUUCAAGGACUAAUUAAAGUGGAUGAAUUUCAUACUUGAUGGGGUAAAAUGUUGAAAAAUAAGGUUGAAGAACUAAAGUGAUAAUGCAUCUAUAGUUUAACGGUCUAAAGUGGAAUUUAGCAGUUGAACUGUUACUCUUGUAUGCUGCUGGUCAUCCUUUGCUUAGCAUGACUAGGUUUGCACAACUUAGUCUUAAAGUCCAUUUCAUCUUACAAGUUACAACCCAACCUAAUCAUUCCCCUUUUGAUGAAUCGACAAGAAAAAAUUGGCUAUGUACACAAAGUCAUUAAAACAAUACAUAAUUUGCCACAGUCAAAUUCUCUUUUUAUAUAUGGGAUAAAUUAGAUCUCACGAGACUUGGAAAAUCAACUCAGUGAUCUUAUAUCUUUGCUUGUUUCAAGAAACAAUUAUGUGACAUCGGUUCUGGAAGGACUAAUUCCAACUAAAGUAAUGAUCCAGAGCAAUCCAUUUUGAUUGCCAAUUGAAUUUGCUUCUGAGAUGGAACUUACCUACAACUUUUCUGAAACUAUCUACAUUUCAAAGUCGCGUCUGAAAAGAAGCAGUAAUAAACACAAUUCUCAAGUACUAUUAUCAAUACAAAGUCACGUGUGAUUGAGAGUAUAAGAAUACAAAGUGUCCUGCAAUGAUUUCUCAAGAAUUUAAAACAAAAUCAAUAUUUUCUUAUGUCAUUCCACUUAUUUACAGUGCAUUUGGAUUUACGAUUAUUUGGAUAAUCUUUUCGAAUAUAACACUAUAGCACAAUUUGGAUAGAGUAUUAUUUGAAAUAUUAUUUGGAAUAAUUAUUGUAGCACUUUUUGUUGCGUGAUAUAUGUGAGAUAAAAAGAUAAUUGAGAAUAUAAAAAGGUGAGUUGAGAAAUGUGUUUAUGAUGCAAUAGAAAUAUUAUCUGACAUAUUUUUGCUAUCCAAACACUCUUGUACGUUUAAAAAAAACGUGGUUAAAAAUUAUGUUCAAGAAAUAACACAAAAAAAAAUCCAAAUAAUGGUGUAUAUGUCCAAUCUGAUUUUUGUUCAUAAUUUGAUAUUGAUUUGGCUGAUUGAAUGUGCAGUUUGAUGAGUUUAAUCACACAGUUCAUGCAUUAAAAAUCCAUAAAACUUGUCAGAUUGUUUGAAUUAACAACCAACUAUGUCUUAAUCAAUUGGCUCUUCAACUGACAACCCCACAAUGUAUUUUGACUUUCACACUUUGAUCUCUUGAUUCGCACUGCUAAAGUUUGAAAUAAUUGGGUUAUUAUCACUUUACCCCCUUAGCGUUUGGUGCUACUAUCAAUUUUCCCCUUAACAUUAUCUUUUAAUCAUUUUACCUCCAAGACUGACGGUCAAACUUAACGGAGUUUGUUAAUUAAAGUGAAAAGACAUGUUUAACUCUUAAAAUUAUUAUUACUUUACCCCCAUAAAAUAUAGUCUCAUUAUCAAUUUACCCCCUUGAGUUAUUUUUUAAAUAAUUUAUCCUACCAUUAAACCAACUUAAUAAGUUAAAAAACUUUAGAAGAAAAUACCCUCCUCUUUGCAUAAUAAAAAUAAUAAAAAAUUUAGAGUGACUCUUCUUCUUUUUAGUAUCAAGAAAAAAAGUCAAAAUAUUAAUUUCUUUCUUCUUGGCAGCCUUAUUAAUAUUGAAAAAAAUAGAAAGAUGGAGAGGGGGAGGGGGAGGGGGAGAGGGAGAGAGAGAGCUCAAUCAUUUUUUAAAAAAAUUACAAAUAAAAAAGAAUUAAAUACUUUUAUUAUUUUAAAAUUAUUUCACUUUUUUGUUUACCACCAAAUUCUAAUCCUAAUCUCGACAACCUUAAAGUAAUACGAUAAUGUUAGACUUUUUUUUAUUUUCUUUUUUUGCAAAAUCUAAUUUUUUGUUUCUUUCUUUCCUAUCUCUUUUUCUUUUCCUAGUAUUAAUAAAUGGGAAAAAAGAAAUUUGAGAAAAUCCUUUUAUUUUUACGUUUUUCGAUCUCUUGAAGUGAAAAAAAGAAAGAAUAACCAUUUCAACUUUUUUAUUUUUAAUUAUAUAAAAAAGGGUACAUAUAUUUAAAAAAAUUUAACCAUACUAGUUAAAUUAAUGAUAAGGUAAAAUGUCUAGAAAAUAAUGUUAGGAACUAAAGUGAUUGUAUCACUAUAAUUUAAACGAAUAAAGUGAUAAUAACAAUGUAGUAAUGUUAUAAAAUAAAAGGGUAUUUUUGUCCAAAAUUUCUUAACAUAUUGAGUUGAAUUACUUAUGAGGGUAAAGUGACUAAAAGAUAACGUUAGGGGGUAAACUGAUAAUAGUUAUAUAGUUUAAGGGGGUAAAGUGAUAAUAACCCGAAAUAAUUUGCAUUGUACAAAUGAGAGUACAAUUUCUAGCAGCCACACUAUGUCUUGAGUCUUGACUAAUAUGAAACGCUGGGGUACCCCUAUCAUUUCUUCCUUUUCAACGAUGACUCAUUCCUGCGUUGGUAUGACCUUUUCUUAUAACACUGGGAAGUAUACAAAUUCAAACUCAAUUAUUGAUUCAUUAAUAAAACAAUUGGCUAAAGAAUUAGAAUUCAAGAAGUUAGUUUUCGAACCUUUACUUUUCAGCCUUGAUUUCUCCUAUCCAUCGUUGUAUCUUAGGUUCGUAUCCCGUGUGGUAUAUUACCAAUGAAAAAUUUUUUGCAAAAGAACUUUGACAAAAUUAUCAGUGAUUUUCCUACGAUCCACAAUUCCACAUAUAGGACUCAACUCUCUGUGUCCAGUUUAAACAAGCACCCAAUUCAACUUUCUUUUUCCUUUUUUUUCCCUCAUUUAGUGUGGUGGUAUUAAUUUGUAACUUCAUCAUAGACAUGUACCCAGAAACCAAAAUAAAUAAAUAAAUAAAUACAAAGAAAACCACCUUAGCCUUCUCAAAAACCGCUACAUGAAACCUUGUUCCCAAAACUUUUCUUUCACAUUAAACUUGUUCACAUAUUCAACCAAUUCAAUGGACAUAGAAUUCCAAAUGAUGUCGUCCAGUCCUUUGAUGCCCGUAAUUCAAUGCCCGUACAUAGAACUUUUUUUUUUUUUUUUGUACUUUGACCGUAAUAACAAGAAAGGCGAAAUAGAGUCUUUUUUUCUUUUAGUUUUGAUCCCUGAUGUUCGGCAAAUGUACCAAAUUGAUCUCCAAUGUUUUGAUCAAAAUAAAUGUGCCCCUUAGAAUUUCUAAUUUUAGGCAAAGUAGGAAAAUCGAUGAAAAUUCAAUAGUCCCAAAUGGUAAAAAUCAAAUAAUUGUUCAGCAACAAUUUCUUAAUUUGAAUUGCAUUUUCUUUUGGUACGAGGGGGCUAUCAUAUUUUACAUGCAGGUCUCUCUAUUUUCUUGUCACGCAUAAGUUUACUUGCAAUGCUAUUACAAUACAUGAGCAUAUAUAUGAGCAACUAUUACUUGAAGGCGAUAAACCUGAAGUUCAGGGAAUAGUAGUGAGUUUGGAAAAGGUCAGCCGAAGCAAGGAAAAUUAGUAAGUGUCUCUAGCUUGGAACCAGCAAACUUUUCGAUACAUUUCGUCUAGGUUUUUAAUCCGAGGAGCUUUUGGAUAGGCAGUGGCAGAGAAGAGAGGAGUGCAAGUUACAAAUUUCUCUAAGGCAAAAUUAUGGGAAGUGAGACCAAUUUAUGGUUUUUUUUACCAGGGCAAAUGACACUUUACCCCCUAUGGGUUAGUAUUGUUUUUACAUAAACCCUCCUAUGGUUUCAAAAUCUAUAUAUAACCUCCUUACGAUUUGGAUUAAAGUGUCAAAGUAACGGAAAUGAUCAUUCGUGAUGGAGUCACCCAAAAUAUAAAAAAUACCUUUAUGUAAAGUUGAAAAUUAUUUAUUAACCAAGGGGGGUUAUGUAUAUAUUUUGAAAACCAUAAGGGGACUAUAUGGUAAAGUAUUCAACCAUAAUAGAGUCAUAUGGUAAAAUAUAAAACUAUAAGGGAUUAGUGUAUUAUGUAUUUAUAAGAGUAAUUUCGAUAUUUUUAAAGGUUUACGAAUGAUCAUUUCGGUCACUUUGAUACUUUAAUCUAAAUUAUGAGCGAGUUAUGUAUAACUUUGAAACCAUAGGGGAAUUAUGUGUAAAAACUAAACCACGGGGGGGUAAAGUGUAAUUUGACAUUUUUACCAUAAUGUUACAAGGGCCAAGAAGAGGACUUAUUAAUAGGUUAAUAGAAAUUGUAGGCGGCAGAGGGUUCCCCAAAGGCCCCUAUGGGCCAAUAUGCUGAUAGCUUUUAUAUGCCUAUGUGUACCACUUGGUUUAAUUUACUCUUUUCAGAUAUGUCAAUGAAAACCAUAGGUUUACCUCAAAUUGAGAAAACUAAUGUUCACUACUGUACUUAUACUGUAGAUAGUAUGUUCCAACGUGCCAAAAAAAAAAAAUCAUAGGAAAGGAUUGUGGCAAAGAGACCAUCAUAUAUAAUUGUGCAUUUUCUUUAGAUUUCUGGUGCUGAAUUAAUCUGCAUGGAGGAACUAGUAAGAAGAAAUGUUCCAGAGAUAAUGCCUAGCAGAAGGGAGCACAAAAAUCGGAAUCUAACUUCCCUAUUGUCGUUUGGAUAUUUUCCUCUAGAGGGAAAGGAGAUGUUUUGAAAACUAUGCCAUAAAAUCGUAACAAAAUCCACCGAUGCUUCCCUGUCCAUCUGCUUCCAAUCUCAGCUCACUCUUCUCAACUACAACGGGAGAAAUGGAGACAAAAUCAAUCAAUGCCACGGCGGAGCAACCAGUUGAUGAAACCUACAUGUUCACCCGGUUUCAAGCUUGUGGGCUUCAAGAACUUCAUCAGAACCGACCCCAAAUCCUAUUUCUUCACCAUGAAUUGAAGCGCUUCCACCACGAAGAAUUCUAGUGCGGCAACGCCGCCAAAACUUGCAGCCGCUGAUUAGUCUGUACAAAAUAGACAGACUCUAAAAGAGCACACACUUCCUCUUGAUAUAGACUUGACCAUUUCUUUAAAAUCCUCAGCAUCACAUGAAACUCUAAGCAAUCCAUGCUGAGAAUAUCCCCAAUCCAAGACAGAAUCAUCAAGUAAAGAAACGAAAGAAGGGUGAUUGAUGAGCUUAACAGGAACACAUAAUCUCUCCAUCUUCUCAUUAUCAGUUCCCACAAGCAUGGGAACAUAACCUUUGCGAGGAGAACCAGUGGCCUCUGCAUCAUUGCUGCUGGACAAUCUUACAUAAUUAGGGGAAGAGCUCAUCUCCCUCCCUUUCAUGCUUUCUAGCUAGAUGUUUGAACACUGUUUUUCUUAUCCAAAGAGCAAAAUCUACUAAGGGAACAAAGCUCCCAAAGUAGUAAAAUUGAUAUGGACCGAGACUAGCUUUCUCUGGCUAUUGGAAGAACAUUCUCCAAUUUAUAUUCCAUUGUGGGCUUGUGGCACUGUGGUAUGGUUGGCAUCUAUGACUUUUUCAUGAAAAGAAUUAGUAAACUAUUGCUCUUUUUUCACUGCUGGUCAUCCUUUCGUUAGCUUGACUUGGUAUCAACAACUUAAUUUAAGCUUGUUUUUGCAAAUGAAUAUAAAGAUUGGUUGAUGUUAGCUAUUGAAUUGUUUUAUAGAAGUUUACGUGCACAAUCAAGUUGUGUACACAAAACGUGUUCAGAGUUCAGACAAUAAUACCAUUUCCUUCGAUGAUGACUUGGCAGAUUGAACAUGCACUUUCAUUUCAUUUGAUGAGAUUAAUCAUACAGAUCAUGCAUUAAGGAAAACCAUAAGUCAAGCUGGAGGUUCUGAAUUAAAAACCAUUUCUAGAUCAACUGACUCUUCAAUUUUUAUUGGUCUCAAUGCUAAUCUAUUUUGUGUUUUUCACACUUCGUUCUCUGGGUUCUCACUGCUUGGCAUGUCAAAACUUGGAUAACUGUUCCAAGAUCCAAUUUAAUUGAUAGAGAGAUUAGUCAAAUGAUUGUAAAAUUUUUUAUUUGACACUUAAAGCUUUUCCCUUUUCCAUGCUCUUUCUAGGAUUUGGAGUCUUCUUUUAGGUCCAAAAAAGCAGUAAAGUAUGCUCAGCUAAAGUUUGAAAUUUGUAUGGUACAGAUGGGAAUGCAAUUUUUAGCAGCCAGUGGCGCACUGCGUUCCGAGUGCUCUUUGACUGACCAUGAAACGUUGGGUUACGUAUCAUUUCUUCCUCUGAAAAAAGAUGACUCGUUCUGGGUGGGUGGGCUAGGACCUUUGCUUGUAGCACUGGGAAAGAGACGUGCAAACUCAAUUAUUGAUUCAUUCGUAGAAGAAUUGGCAGAAAAGCAGCAUUCUAGAACUUAAUAUUUUUAAUCUUUUACUUUGCAGCCUUUUUGACUCAAGUCCUAAAAAUAAUUUACCAAGUCAAAUAUAAUACUCAUAUUGGACAUGUCAGACCUCACUAGACUUGGAAAAUUGACCCGGUGAUGGUAUAUCUUGUCAACAAAAAGUUACAUGUGACCGAGAGUAUUAAAACACAAAAUAUUCCAAAUUGGUCUCUUAAGAAUAUCAACAAAAUUAAAUCAUAUUUUAUGCCAUUCCGCUUAUUUACAAUCCUGGUUCUUUAUCACUAGCGUCUAAUAUGAUUCUCAUGCACCUUUCCCCUGGUGUCCCAAUGCCUGAUUUGAAAAAUUAAAUAAAAAUUGCCUGAUCUAAAAAAUUAAGAAAAUACAGCAAUACUCUCAAGAUAUAAUUUCUGAGAGCACUCAAGUCUGAAGAUGUAUGUGUUGAGAAGAAUUUUAAGAGAGCCCUUCAGGGUUCUAUCAAUCGGGAAACAUGUUAUUAAUGCAAUUUAAUAAUAAGUGGGUUUGGAAUUGAAGAUCUUGGAUAAAUAUUAAAAAUAACACAAAACUAUCUACAGUAAAAUAUAUGUAAGUAUAAAAGAUCACUAAAAGAUUAAAAAAUGUAUAGUUGGAAAAUUUAUCUAGAGAAUUACACAGAAAGUUUUUUGCAAAUAAUGGAUUAUCAAAAUGGUUUAUUUUCCAUAAUUUCAUUUUGACUUGGCAGAUGCAAUGUGCACUUCUAUUUUCUUUGAAGAGGUAAAUUACGCAGAUCAUGCAUCAAGAAAACCAUUGAUCAUGCUGGAUAUUUUGAAUAGUAAAACAUGUGUAGAACUGACUUUUGAAUUCUUAUGGUUUGCUUAGUUCCCCACAAAAUCUAGUUUAUGUCUUUGUUCUCAUGUUUCUUGCAAAGGACUAGCUCCACUUUGUACCCCCAAAAUUUUUACGCUUUUUUUCACUUUACACUUUAAACGUCAAUUUUGUACACUUUGCACCUUAAACUCUCAAUUCUAAAUAAUUUGCAUGUGACGAUCCGAAUUUUUCUCAUUUUAUUUUAUUUUACUAGCUUAAUUAAUUAUUUACUCACCUGUUUCCUCCAAAUAAUUUAUUUCAAUCAUUUUAAACUUAUUUACCUGGAAUAAUGUCUUAAUUAUAUUUUUAACACGUCUCGUUAGUAAAAUUAAUUUUUUCUAGAGCUUGUUUAGUGGAAAAUAAGGAGUACACAUUUUUCGAGGCUAUGUUCGAUCCGAGAGUACAUUAGUCUUGGAGAAUUAAGAAUGAUUAAUAGUAGAUUAAGAAAAAUUAAUUGAGAGAUUAGAUGUGAGUAAGUUAAAAUUAAACUUAUACCGUGCGCGCGUCGAAAGUUUCCGAAAGACGCGCUGGUACAAAUUAAUUGGAGAUUUGAGGAAUUAAUACUAGACUCAUGUGAGGAAUCAUGUUUUUAUUUCUAAAAUAGUUAUUUUCAUGAUUAUAUACCAUAGUAUUAGUUAGUUAUAUCAUCGUUACAAGAAUUUCUUUGAAAUUGCGUUUUAUCGCGCACAAAUCGGAAGUAAGCGUUUUCGCGGCGCGCGAUUAUUUGAGGGACUUUGGACAUUUAUUUUUAGACUAUUAAAAGUGAAUAAUAAUAAUGUUAAUGGAAGUGCACUAGAGGUUUAGUCCACAAGUGAAACAAACCAGAGAGGAAAUGGGCACGAAACGCCCGUGUACGCGCACUAUUGGAGAGUUGACUUUUGUGCACCUUAGAGCCAACUACCAAGCUUACUCUAGAAGCUUUUGAUCAGCACAACACUCUCUCUUUUCUCUCUCAAACAGCCGGCCACACCAAGGAGAAGAAGGAACCAAAACUUCUUCAUCAUCUCACUCAAUCUUUCACCAAAUCAUUUCAAAUUCAUACCACAACUUGCAAAUAACUUGGAGAUCAUCUUGGACUAGGAGAGGAGCUUCAUUCUCACGGUUUUCUUGGAGCUCUAAGGACCGAAAAUUCUGAGUUCAUCAUCUAAGGAGGUAGCAAACCAUCCAACCCUUGAAACUUGAUUAUUGUAAGUUAGAUUAGACUUAGAAACUUGUAGCUUCAAGUGGGUAGCUUUAGAUGGUUGAAAAUCAUGUGAGUGGGCUCUAUGAAAUCCCACAAUGGACUUGUUGGGCUGAUGUGAUGAUUUUGGAUGUUGUUUUUGUUGAUUAAGUGUUAAAUGAGUAGUUAUAAGUUGAAAAAGUGGAAAGAAAAUCAAAGGAGGUUGAAAACUAAGAAGGGCCGAAUCUGCCCUGUUCUUGUUGGACCCUUGGUGAGAUUUUUUUGUGACCAAAUGGCCUUGAUUUUGAUGUAGAUAUGUUGUAUAGGUUGUGUGGAAAGUUUCCACCAAAAAUCACUUGAUUUGGUUGGGUAAAUGUUUGGAUUUCAAAAAUUCUUCAUAGCUGGAAAACGUGUCCAGAGUUACUCUGGUAGGGAAUUUUAAAUGACCAUAACACUUUGUUCCGAUGUCGAAAUCGGGUGCCGUUUGUAGAAUUAGAAACUAUACACUUCCAGUUUUCUAACGGUAUAAAAUACAUCCCCUGAUUCCACCUGAGUGAACCGUACCAACUCCUCAAAGUUACCUGUCCUGUUUCACGACUGUGCUAGAGGGACAGUGAGGUGCUGGAACUUGUUGCUUGAAUUUGAGCUAGCUAUGGACAGAAUUUCAAAACGAUUUCUUCUGAAAAUUGUAGCCUUAUGAAUUUAUUUUUCAAUGCCACCAACCACGCCCAAUUCCAAGUUGCAUUGAGUGAGUUGUGGCCGAAUUACGAAACUGUCUCAGUGAUGGAAAACCCUCAUUUUGGCUAGCCGAAUGGCUUAGCUCAAAUUGGGACUUGAUAUUUUGAAUCCUUUGAUGUCAAUCACCUACCAAAUGUGUAUUGGAUGUUUCUUAGACCUUUCCUUUAUAAAUAGACCAGAUUUGAAAUGAUUUCAUUGGCCAAAAGUUAGAAAAAGGAAAAUGGAAGUACAAGGCAGAUUUGCCUUGGAAAUUCUUGGAACUUUAGUGACUUUGUUAACUGACCUUCCGUACGAAUUUUUGCAUGAAAUUUGACAGAGGAAUAGCCCUUAUAUGGUAGUGAAAUACUACCAAAUUUGGUUCCAUCCCAAGUCCAUUUCGAUGCCCAACCAAAGUCUCAAAGUUCAUGUUUCAAAUCUGGAAAAUCCUUAUUCAGUGAGAAAUUUUCAGCAACUUUGAGCUGCUAUAUCUUGGCUCUCAAAACUCCGAUUCUUGUUCCAUUUAUUGUGUUUUAAACUUUGAUUGUAACUCUAAUUGAGUUCCAAAUUUUAGAGGCUAGUUCACAUUCUGUAAAUUUUACCGAAUUUCCAAAGUUAGCCAAAAAUCAACCCCAAAUCUAUCUUGGGAGUUCAAAUUAGUAGCCUUAAGCCAAAAUUUGAGUGUCUUCCAUUUAGAAUCAUGAAAAAGUGUCUUCUAGGAAAUUUUAGCACUUUGGAAGUAGUUUCCAACGGUACCAAGUUUUCCAAUUUUCGACCUACGGAGAGUGAGAUAUGAUUUUUCAAAGAUUACACCUCAAAUCUGGAAUUUCUGAACUUAAAGGGAAUUAAGUUUAUAGAAACUCUCCAUUUUCCUUCGAUAUUGCUUGACCGUUUUACACUUGAUUUCAAAGAUGAAAAUCAAUUUUUCCUUGUAUUAUUAAACCCCACUUUUGAGCCUCGAUUUACGAAUAAUUAAGGCUCAUUUUCAUGAUAUUUUCUUAGGACGUACAAGUGUACAAUCUACCUUAAUAACCAGGGGUUUUUAAGGGAUUGUGUGUGAUAGUUAAUUAUUAUUUACUCAUGCACUCAAGGAGACCUUCAAGAGGACCUCACAACGGAUGCUUAAAUACUUGAAUUGUGCACCACACUCUCUUAUUUUGCCUAAGUGAGUGUCAAGUGCAUGAAUAUUUGGAAAUUAUGUGAAUUACUCAUUAUGAAAUAGAUGGUUUAUAACUACUGAGUCGAGUAUGUACCUUAUUGAAUGCGUUCUCAUUUAAAUGAAUUGUAAUUGAAUUGCCUGAAUUGAAUUGAAUUAUAUGUUAUGGUUGUAUAUGUCGUUGGAGUGAAUCUCCUCGACUCAUAAUUGAACUAUAUGACUGCCGAUUGGAGUGCGCUCAUCGGCCUAUAAAGGUAUUUGUCGAUUGGACUGAAUGUCAUUAACCUUUAUAAUUAUAAUCGUAUAAUCAGAUUUCUGAGCGAUAGCAUGUACCACACUGAUUUGGGUGGGAGGUACCUCUUAUGUCGUCUCAGAACCAUAAACCUUUCUAAAUCGAUUGGAGCGAUGUCUCAUCAAUUACUGGGCGAUAUUAUGUACCACACCGAUUCGGGUGGGAGGUACCUCUCAUGUUGACUCAGAAUCAUAAACAAAGUAUAAGUCGAUUGGAGCAAUGUCUCAUAGACCAUUGAGGGAUAGUAUGUACCACACCGAUCCGGGUGGGAGGUACCUCUCAUGUCACCUCAGAACUGUAAACAUAUAGUCAAUUCCCUGAGCGAUAGCAUGUACCACACCAAUUCGGGUGGGAGGUACCUCUCAUGUCGACUUAGAACCAUAAAUGGAGGUAUUGAAUUGAAUAUGGGCAAAACAAUUGGAAAUUAGCUCCUGAGAGCUCCUGCAUCCUACUCAAGUGUAUUUUAUUAUAAAUUGUGAAUUACUUGAAUGUUAUAGCUUUCAUUAUUGUGUAAGUGCUAUUGUUAUUUGAAUUAUGCGUUUUGCAUGUUUUCUUGGUCUCGCGAGUAUUCGCUCACUCCGUUAGAUUCGUUUUCCUUAACAGGAGCUGAAAUGGAAAGAAUUAUGGAGAGGUCGACUUGAUGGCCCUUUUGAUUAGAAUUUUGAAUGUAUUUGUUUAGACAACUUUUGGAAACUGUAUAUUUUGGGAAUGUAAGAUAUUUUUGGUAGCUCAUAUUGUAUGACUUGAACGAUUAUUAAGGAAUUGACCUUCUUUUUUUUUUA